This 277-nucleotide ribosomal RNA is filed under the name Ruminococcus champanellensis 18P13 = JCM 17042. Its description in RNAcentral is "partial 16S ribosomal RNA". It matches the Rfam family "Bacterial small subunit ribosomal RNA", at positions 499 to 776 of the family's 1533-position model. Lineage: Bacteria; Bacillati; Bacillota; Clostridia; Eubacteriales; Oscillospiraceae. The record is from RNAcentral.
UAUGUGGUGCCCGCGCCGCGGUAAUACGUAGGGAGCGAGCGUUGUCCGGAAUUACUGGGUGUAACGGGAGCGUAGGCGGGAUCGCAAGUCAGAUGUGAAAACUAUGGGCUUAACCCAUAAACUGCAUUUGAAACUGUGGUUCUUGAGUGAAGUAGAGGUAAGCGGAAUUCCUAGUGUAGCGGUGAAAUGCGUAGAUAUUAGGAGGAACAUCAGUGGCGAAGGCGGCUUACUGGGCUUUAACUGACGCUGAGGCUCGAAAGCGUGGGGAGCAAACAGG